This 425-nucleotide ribosomal RNA is filed under the name Glanitaenia osculata. RNAcentral's name for it is "partial 16S ribosomal RNA". It matches the Rfam family "Bacterial large subunit ribosomal RNA", at positions 1831 to 2599 of the family's 2925-position model. Lineage: Eukaryota; Metazoa; Platyhelminthes; Cestoda; Proteocephalidea; Proteocephalidae. The record is from RNAcentral.
UUCUAUAAAAAAUUUUUUAUAGUAUUACCUGCUCUAUGUUUAUUAUAAAUGGCCGCAGUAUCUUGACUGUGCGAAGGUAGCAUAAUUAAUUGCCUUAUAAUUGAAGGCUUGUUUGAAUGGUUUGACGUGGUAAUUACAAAUGUUUUAAUUUUAUUUGAAAUUUAUUUAGAGGGCACAGAAUCCUCUAAAAUUAAUUAGACGGAAAGACCCCAGGAUCUUUAUUUUUUGUCUGGGGCAGAUACCUUUAUUUCAAAGUUAUUAAGAUCCUCUUAAAGCAUAGUGAGUUAAGUUACCCUGGGGAUAACAGUGUAAUAGUUUAUUAGAGUUCCUAUCGAUUAAACUGUUUGCUACCUCGAUGUUGACUUAGGUAAAUAAGUUAGGCGCAGUAGUUUAAUUUUUUGGUCUGUUCGACCAAUUAUACCUCC